Molecule: transfer RNA, 65 nt
Filed under: Stoloteuthis sp. GS-2021
Lineage: Eukaryota; Metazoa; Mollusca; Cephalopoda; Sepiida; Sepiolidae
Description: tRNA-Leu
Source: RNAcentral
AUUAGGAUGGCAGAUCAGUGCAUAGGAUUUAAGAUUCUAUUAGGAAAUUAUUAUUUCUUCUAAUA